This 479-nucleotide ribosomal RNA is filed under the name uncultured bacterium. RNAcentral's name for it is "partial 16S ribosomal RNA". It matches the Rfam family "Bacterial small subunit ribosomal RNA", at positions 28 to 507 of the family's 1533-position model. The record is from RNAcentral.
GAUGAACGCUGGCGGCGUGCUUAACGCAUGCAAGUCGAGCGAGAAGUUUUGAAAAGAUUCUUCGGAUGCAAUUUAAAAUGGAAAGCGGCGGACGGGUGAGUAACGCGUAGGCAACCUGCCCCAUACAAAGGGAUAGCAUUUGGAAACGAAUAUUAAUACCUUAUGAAACUUAACUAGUGCAUGCUAGGUAGGUCAAAGAUUUAUCGGUAUGGGAUGGGCCUGCGUCUGAUUAGCUAGUUGGUGAGGUAACGGCUCACCAAGGCGACGAUCAGUAGCCGACCUGAGAGGGCGAACGGCCACAUUGGAACUGAGACACGGUCCAAACUCCUACGGGAGGCAGCAGUGGGGAAUAUUGCACAAUGGGGGAAACCCUGAUGCAGCAACGCCGCGUGAACGAUGAAGGCCUUUGGGUCGUAAAGUUCUGUUCCAGGUGAUGAAAACUGACAGUAACCUAGGAGAAAGCCCCGGCUAACUCCGUG